AGGCACUAAUGCCAAGAUAGAUGUACAGUUGUACAGUGAGACCAGCUCCUCAGCAAGGUACCGACUCUCAGCCUAUGACACUGAACAGCCAAUACUGAAACGUGGGAAUAAGGACAUGUUUCUGGUCUACACACAAGCUCCCCUUGGGAAAAUGUCCCAUGUGGUCAUCACUCAGAAAGGAAAGGGGAAGAAAGCCAAAUGGCACCUGGACAACAUUAAGUUGUAUGAUCCUCUGGAGGAGCAGGAGUGGACCUUCCCAUGUAAUAUCUGGCUUAAACCAGCACACAAUGGAGGGGAGGAGACCCACUGUGUAUGCUUCCAGAGUGAGCAGACACG
This is a long non-coding RNA of Lingula anatina, 336 nucleotides long. Lineage: Eukaryota; Metazoa; Brachiopoda; Lingulata; Lingulida; Lingulidae. The record is from RefSeq and is a predicted model, not a curated record.